AGAUUCUCCUCUGAGCUCUCCGUAUGGGAGCAUUCCUGCAUGAACUCCGCCAGCCCUCUCGCAGUGAACACAGAUGUGAACAACUCGCUUGGUUCUGCCUGCUGGGACCUCAUCUCCAGGUCAGAUCUUCCCUCCGCUGUGCCAUGUCUGCAGACUCGGGCAGCCUCUGCUCCUGAUGGCUUUUAAAAAUCACUUGUGUUCAGUUCAUAAAGGAUUUCUUCAUCCUGUAGGAGCAUCACUCAGUGUUGUUUACUCACACCGCCUCCUUGUCCCCUCUCAAGCCUGUUGAUGGCAAACAAUGGAUGGCAAAUGAUUGCCCCCAGUGCAGUCACACACGGGUUCCACACCCCCCACAAGCACUCAGGGCUUUGAGCUGCCCCUUUUACCUUCACCAUUUUCAUUUAGAAGUCAUCAUCACAGGGCAAAAGCAUAUAAAGCUAUGUUUAUAUUGGGUGUGUUAAAAGGCUGAGGUAUCAGGUGAACACUGUGCCCUGCAGUACAUUACUUCAGACCUUGUGUUCCUUACACUAGCCACAGUUUUUAUCUGAACUGUGGGAUAGGUACCCCCACACCACCUGGAUGCAAAGGAAAAUACCUGGGGGGGAAGGAUAUUUCAUGGCGUGCUGACGUGUACACACCGCUGUGCUGUGGUUAUCAGCAGCUCAUGGCAGGAUCCUGCAGAGGUGGAUUUGGCUCUUCACAGCUGUGAGGAAGCCUUUCUCCAGGCUCUCCCAGGGUCCCGUGGGGUGCUCCCAGAACUGGCAACCACCAGAGCCAUUCACUCAUUCCUGGGACCUGAAGGAGACUAGCACAACCCACCAGCAGCAGCCCUGGGCACCCCAUGGGCUGCACAGGACACCAUGUGCAUCCAGCAGGGAACAGCCACGUGAUAGCAACACAGCCCGUGGCAAAGGCAAGGCAGCAGGACCGCAUGGGCCUGGGCCACUGCCUUCUGCUCCCAAACACUGCAGCCAUCAGACCCUCCAGCAAGCUGGCAGGCAUCACUGCUCAGAGACAUUGGGGUCCUCAGCCACUACUCUCCUCGGGCACACAGGGUUUGGAGUCACCAGCUGCACACUAAGAUGAGGAAAGUGGUCACAACUGUCCCCGCUCAGUGCUGCAGAAGUGUUUAAAUGCUCUAAGACUGCACUUUGCUAACGGUGAUGAGCAGUAGUACAAUGGAGAACUGGCACGAGUAACACCAGCCCUUUAGAAAGGCAAGGAGACAAUAUUUCCGCCUUUCUCA
This 1246-nucleotide long non-coding RNA is filed under the name Gallus gallus (chicken). Its description in RNAcentral is "long non-coding RNA NONGGAT003043". Lineage: Eukaryota; Metazoa; Chordata; Aves; Galliformes; Phasianidae. The record is from RNAcentral.